This 65-nucleotide transfer RNA is filed under the name Coptosoma bifarium. Its description in RNAcentral is "tRNA-Phe". Lineage: Eukaryota; Metazoa; Arthropoda; Insecta; Hemiptera; Plataspidae. The record is from RNAcentral.
AUUUAAGUAGCUUAAUAUAAAGCUUAAUAUUGAAGAUAUUAUUAUGGGUUAAUACCCCUUGAGUA